GGUUAAGUUAGAAAGGGCGCACGGUGGAUGCCUUGGCACUAGGAGCCGAAGAAGGACGGGACUAACACCGAUAUGCUUUGGGGAGCUGUACGUAAGCGUUGAUCCAGAGAUUUCCGAAUGGGGGAACCCACU
RNAcentral lists this ribosomal RNA (132 nucleotides) under Listeria seeligeri. RNAcentral's name for it is "partial 23S ribosomal RNA". It matches the Rfam family "Bacterial large subunit ribosomal RNA", at positions 1 to 132 of the family's 2925-position model. RNAcentral also lists the same sequence under 1 other name. The record is from RNAcentral. Lineage: Bacteria; Bacillati; Bacillota; Bacilli; Caryophanales; Listeriaceae.